CGAUUCUGGCUCAGGAUGAACGCUGGCGGCGUGCUUAACACAUGCAAGUCGAACGAAGCCAAAAGGAAGCUUGCUUCUUGAAGCUUAGUGGCGGACGGGUGAGUAACGCGUGAGUAACCUGCCCUUCAGUGGGGAAUAACACAGAGAAAUCUGUGCUAAUACCGCAUAACGUCUUCUUGCCGCAUGACAGGAAGACCAAAGGAUUUAUUCGCUGAAGGAUGGACUCGCGUCCGAUUAGCUAGUUGGUGAGGUAACGGCCCACCAAGGCGACGAUCGGUAGCCGAACUGAGAGGUUGAUCGGCCACAUUGGGACUGAGACACGGCCCAGACUCCUACGGGAGGCAGCAGUGGGGAAUAUUGGGCAAUGGGCCGAAAGCCUGACCCAGCAACGCCGCGUGAAGGAAGACGGUCUUCGGAUUGUAAACUUCUUUGAUUGGGGAAGAACAAAAUGACCUACCCAAAGAACAAGUCACGGCUAACUACGUGCCAGCCGCCGC
Molecule: ribosomal RNA, 497 nt
Filed under: uncultured bacterium
Lineage: Bacteria
Description: bacterial SSU rRNA
Rfam family: Bacterial small subunit ribosomal RNA
Source: RNAcentral